Long non-coding RNA from Exaiptasia diaphana, 656 nucleotides. RefSeq lists it as uncharacterized. The record is from RefSeq and is a predicted model, not a curated record. NCBI's taxonomy places the organism in Eukaryota, Metazoa, Cnidaria, Anthozoa, Actiniaria, Aiptasiidae. The transcript has 2 exons.
UCUUCGGAAGCAAGUUAAAGAGAUUACUAAACAAAAUCGAUCACUAAAAGGAAAAGAGGAAAGAGAUACGCCUCAAAAUGUGCUUACCCCCAGCAAUCCCCCCUCAGGGCACAAUUUGAGCAGUUCGGCUCAGCCCCUUCAAGAGRCUUCACUCGCUGACCGACGGAAGACAUUGCUGGCUCAAGAGCGAGAAAAUCGACCCAAAUACUCCGGYUGGAUGUCGCCGUCUAAAACCAAAGACAUGUUCAAAGAUAAAGCGAAUCAAUGUCCACAUCAGUGAUAUUAGAAGCUAGGUUAUUAUAUUCAAUUUGCGGUUAUUGUAUUUUCUAAGGUCAAUCAUGCCUGAGUCAUCGGUGCUUUUAUCUUUUCAUUGUCUGCUAUUUAAUCCCUCAAUGCCGUAUUUUCUUACUUUACCGAAAAGCUACAAAUUAAAAAACGAAAACGGAUAAAGGAGAUUACUUMACGGGAAUUUGAAACUGCGAAAUUGGCGAAGACACGGCUUUCCGUCUUGCUUUGUUCCAAGAAAUACAUACGAUUCACAUUACAGGAUUACGUGUGUCUAAGAGUAUUCAUAUUUAAACUACAUUUCUUAGURCAGAUACUCUUUCGGAAUUCUCGUUGCCUUCUACUUGAAGUAUUUUCGACAACGCCAACAA